GUCCACGCCGUAAACGAUGGGCACUAGGUGUCGGGGGUAUCCACUCCCUCGGUGCCGCCGCUAACGCAUUAAGUGUCCCGCCUGGGAAGUACGGUCGCAAGAUUAAAACUCAAAGGAAUUGACGGGGGCCCGCACAAGCGGUGGAGCAUGUGGUUAAAUUCGAUGCUACGCGAAGAACCUUACCUGGGUUUGACAUCUGGCGAAUUUUUUGGAAACAGAAAGUGCCCGCAAGGGAACGCCAAGACAGGUGCUGCAUGGCUGUCGU
This 265-nucleotide ribosomal RNA is filed under the name uncultured bacterium. RNAcentral describes it as "partial 16S ribosomal RNA". It matches the Rfam family "Bacterial small subunit ribosomal RNA", at positions 793 to 1055 of the family's 1533-position model. The record is from RNAcentral.